RNAcentral lists this small RNA (67 nucleotides) under Bacillus subtilis. RNAcentral's name for it is "Bacillaceae-1 RNA". It matches the Rfam family "Bacillaceae-1 RNA". The record is from RNAcentral. Lineage: Bacteria; Bacillati; Bacillota; Bacilli; Caryophanales; Bacillaceae.
GUAAAAAGACCAGCGGCUAAAAACUAGAGCGUCCUGCUCAAACGCCGCUGUCACCGCAUCCUGCGGA